GCCGGGCGUGGUGGUACAUGCCUGUAAUCCCAGAGGCUUGGGAGGCUGAGGCAGGAGGAUUGUGAGUUCAAAGCCAGCCUUAGCAAAAGCGAGGUGCUAAGCAACUGAGUGAGAUCCUGUCUCUA
Molecule: small RNA, 125 nt
Filed under: Marmota monax (woodchuck)
Lineage: Eukaryota; Metazoa; Chordata; Mammalia; Rodentia; Sciuridae
Source: RNAcentral